GAUGAACGCUGGCGGCGUGCCUAAUACAUGCAAGUCGAGCGAACAGACGAGGAGCUUGCUCCUCUGACGUUAGCGGCGGACGGGCGAGUAACACGUGGAUAACCUACCUAUAAGACUUGGAUAACUUCGGGAAACCGGAGCUAAUACCGGAUAAUACGUUGAACCGCAGGGUUCAAUAGUGAUACACGCUUUUGCCGACUCAUUUAGCUGGAUCCGCGUCGCAUUAGCCAGUUGGUAAGGUAACGGCCUACCAAGGCAACGAUGCGUAGCUGAGCUGAGAGGGUGAUCGGCCACACUGGAACUGAGACACGGUCCAGACUCCUACGGGAGGCAGCAGUAGGGAAUCUUCCGCAAUGGGCGAAAGCCUGACGGAGCAACGCCGCGUGAGUGAUGAAGGUCUUCGGAUCGUAAAGCUCUGUUAUUAGGGAAGAACAAAUGUGUAAGUAACUAUGCACGUCUUGACGGUACCUAAUCAGAAAGCCCCGGCUAACUACGUG
Molecule: ribosomal RNA, 497 nt
Filed under: uncultured bacterium
Lineage: Bacteria
Description: partial 16S ribosomal RNA
Rfam family: Bacterial small subunit ribosomal RNA
Source: RNAcentral